GACGAACGCUGGCGGCGUGCUUAACACAUGCAAGUCGAACGGAAAGGCCCUGCUUUUGUGGGGUGCUCGAGUGGCGAACGGGUGAGUAACACGUGAGUAACCUGCCCUUGACUUUGGGAUAACUUCAGGAAACUGGGGCUAAUACCGGAUAGGAGCUCCUGCUGCAUGGUGGGGGUUGGAAAGUUUCGGCGGUUGGGGCUGGACUCGCGGCUUAUCAGCUUGUUGGUGGGGUAGUGGUUUACCAAGGCUUUGACGGGUAGGCGGCCUGAGAGGGUGACCGGCCACCUUGGGACUGAGAUACGGCCCAGACUCCUACGGGAGGCAACAGGGGGGAAUAUUGCACAAUGGGCGGAAGCCUGAUGAAGCAACGCCGCGUGCGGGAUGACGGCCUUCGGGUUGUAAACCGCUUUCGCCUGUGACGAAGCGUGAGUGACGGUAAUGGGUAAAGAAGCACCGGCUAACUACGUG
This 468-nucleotide ribosomal RNA is filed under the name uncultured bacterium. Its description in RNAcentral is "partial 16S ribosomal RNA". It matches the Rfam family "Bacterial small subunit ribosomal RNA", at positions 28 to 507 of the family's 1533-position model. The record is from RNAcentral.